Molecule: ribosomal RNA, 253 nt
Filed under: uncultured bacterium
Lineage: Bacteria
Description: partial 16S ribosomal RNA
Rfam family: Bacterial small subunit ribosomal RNA
Source: RNAcentral
GACGUAGGGCGCGAGCGUUGUCCGGAUUUAUUGGGCGUAAAGAGCUCGUAGGCGGCUUGUCGCGUCGUCCGUGAAAGCCCGGGGCUUAACCCCGGGUCUGCAUUCGAUACGGGCAGGCUAGAGUUCGGUAGGGGAGAUCGGAAUUCCUGGUGUAGCGGUGAAAUGCGCAGAUAUCAGGAGGAACACCGGUGGCGAAGGCGGAUCUCUGGGCCGAUACUGACGCUGAGGAGCGAAAGCGUGGGGAGCGAACAGG